Molecule: ribosomal RNA, 183 nt
Filed under: uncultured bacterium
Lineage: Bacteria
Description: partial 16S ribosomal RNA
Rfam family: Bacterial small subunit ribosomal RNA
Source: RNAcentral
GUGAAGCUGGAAUCGCUAGUAAUCGCAGAUCAGAAUGCUGCGGUGAAUACGUUCCCGGGUCUUGUACACACCGCCCGUCACACCACGGAAGUUGGGGGCGCCCGAAGCCACUUAGCUAACCCUUUUGGGAAGCGAGUGUCGAAGGUGAAAUCAAUAACUGGGGUGAAGUCGUAACAAGGUAUC